Molecule: ribosomal RNA, 877 nt
Filed under: uncultured eukaryote
Lineage: Eukaryota
Description: SSU rRNA
Rfam family: Eukaryotic small subunit ribosomal RNA
Source: RNAcentral
CGGUGUUCAACUGGCGUGUCCGCGGGACGUCCUGCCGGUGGGCUUAGCCCGCAAGGGCGGCCCAACUUCAAAUCCCAUCGCGGUGCUCUUCACUGAGUGUCGAGGUGGGCCGGCACGUUUACUUUGAACAAAUUAGAGUGCUUAAAGCAGGCUAAAACUUCGCCUGAAUACUGUGUGCAUGGAAUAAUGGGAUAGGACCUCGGUUCUAUUUUGUUGGUUUUCGGAACCCCGAGGUAAUGAUUAAUAGGAACGGAUGGGGGCAUUCGUAUUGCGACGUUAGGGGUGAAAUUCUUGGAUCGUCGCAAGACGGACAGAAGCGAAAGCAUUUGCCAAAAACGCUUUCAUUGAUCAAGAACGAAAGUUAGAGGUUCGAAGGCGAUCAGAUACCGCCCUAGUUCUAACCAUAAACGAUGCCAGCUAGCGAUCCGUCGACGUUCCUCCGAUGACUCGACGGGCAGCUUCCGGGAAACCAAAGCUUUUGGGUUCCGGGGGAAGUAUGGUUGCAAAGCUGAAACUUAAAGGAAUUGACGGAAGGGCACCACCAGGAGUGGAGCCUGCGGCUUAAUUUGACUCAACACGGGAAACCUCACCAGGCCCGGACACCGGAAGGAUUGACAGAUUGAGAGCUCUUUCUUGAUUCGGUGGGUGGUGGUGCAUGGCCGUUCUUAGUUGGUGGAGCGAUUUGUCUGGUUAAUUCCGAUAACGAACGAGACUCUAGCCUGCUAACUAGGCGUAUUUUCGACAUCUCAAAGGUCCGUCGUCCCGGCCCUCGGGUCGUGGGCGUGCGCGAUUUUUACUGUCGGCGUACUAUCAAUUCUUCUUAGAGGGACAGGUGGCUUCUAGCCGCACGAGAUUGAGCAAUAACAGGUCUGUGAUG